Molecule: ribosomal RNA, 267 nt
Filed under: Campylobacter coli
Lineage: Bacteria; Pseudomonadati; Campylobacterota; Epsilonproteobacteria; Campylobacterales; Campylobacteraceae
Description: partial 16S ribosomal RNA
Rfam family: Bacterial small subunit ribosomal RNA
Source: RNAcentral
UUUUAUGGAGAGUUUGAUCCUGGCUCAGAGUGAACGCUGGCGGCGUGCCUAAUACAUGCAAGUCGAACGAUGAAGCUUCUAGCUUGCUAGAAGUGGAUUAGUGGCGCACGGGUGAGUAAGGUAUAGUUAAUCUGCCCUACACAAGAGGACAACAGUUGGAAACGACUGCUAAUACUCUAUACUCCUGCUUAACACAAGUUGAGUAGGGAAAGUUUUUCGGUGUAGGAUGAGACUAUAUAGUAUCAGCUAGUUGGUGAGGUAAUGGCU